This 492-nucleotide ribosomal RNA is filed under the name uncultured bacterium. RNAcentral's name for it is "partial 16S ribosomal RNA". It matches the Rfam family "Bacterial small subunit ribosomal RNA", at positions 29 to 507 of the family's 1533-position model. The record is from RNAcentral.
AGUGAACGCUGGCGGUAGGCCUAACACAUGCAAGUCGAACGGCAGCACAGUAAGGGCUUGCUCUUACGGGUGGCGAGUGGCGGACGGGUGAGGAAUACAUCGGAAUCUACUUUUUCGUGGGGGAUAACGUAGGGAAACUUACGCUAAUACCGCAUACGACCUACGGGUGAAAGCAGGGGAUCUUCGGACCUUGCGCGAUUGAAUGAGCCGAUGUCGGAUUAGCUAGUUGGCGGGGUAAAGGCCCACCAAGGCGACGAUCCGUAGCUGGUCUGAGAGGAUGAUCACCCACACUGGAACUGAGACACGGUCCAGACUCCUACGGUAGGUAGCAGUGGGGAAUAUUGGACAAUGGGCGCAAGCCUGAUCCAGCCCUACCGCGUGGGUGAAGAAGGCCUUCGGGUUGUAAAGCCCUUUUGUUGGGAAAGAAAAGCAGCAGGUUAAGACCCCGCUGUUCUGACGGUACCCAAAGAAUAAGCACCGGCUAACUUCGUG